RNAcentral lists this ribosomal RNA (468 nucleotides) under uncultured bacterium. Its description in RNAcentral is "partial 16S ribosomal RNA". It matches the Rfam family "Bacterial small subunit ribosomal RNA", at positions 28 to 507 of the family's 1533-position model. The record is from RNAcentral.
GACGAACGCUGGCGGCGUGCUUAACACAUGCAAGUCGAACGGAAACGCCCUGCCUAUGCGGGGUGCUCGAGUGGCGAACGGGUGAGUAUCAUGUGAGUAACCUGCCCUUGAGUUUGGGAUAACUUCAGGAAAAUGGGGCUACUACCGGAUAGGAGCUCCUGCUGCAUGGUGGGGGUUGGAAAGUUUCGGCGGUUGGGGCUGGACUCGCGGCUUAUGAGCUUGUUGGUGGGGUAGUGGCUUACCAAGGGUUCGACGGGUAGCCGGCCUGAGAGGGUGACCAGCCACAAUGGUACUGAGGUACGGCCCAGACUGCUACAGUGGACAGCAGUGGGGAAUAUGACACAGUGGGCGGAAGCCUGAUGCAGCGACGCCGCGUGCGGGAUGACGUCCUUCGGGUUGUGAACCGCUUUCGCCUGAGACGAAGGGUGAAUGACGGUAAUGGGUAAAGAAGCACCGGCUAACUUCGUG